CUUGUACUCUCUCCGUCCGAAAAUACUUGUCAUCAAGAUGAAAUAAAAGGAGAUGUAUCUAGAUGUAUUUUAGUUCUAGAUACACCUCUUUUUUAUCCAUUUUGAUGAUAAGUAUUUCCGGAAGGAGGGAGUAUUUG
Triticum urartu is the source of this 137-nucleotide non-coding RNA. NCBI's taxonomy places the organism in Eukaryota, Viridiplantae, Streptophyta, Magnoliopsida, Poales, Poaceae. The record is from Rfam.